UAGGUGAGGCCAGCAUUACAGUCCAGCAAUGUUGUCCUCUUUUGUACUUUCUGCAGACUUGACUCAUUCUCUGCAGAAAUAGGGGAGCUCAGGCAUCUCUUCCCACAUCUAUUUAAAUUUAAAUGUCAGGAUUAGCAUGGAAAUUAUAUACAUGUAGAAGUGUCUUUUAGCAAGAUAGGUGUCAGUAUUUAGUAUGUACCGAGUGGAAGUGCCAUAACUGUGGUAACCUCCAGCAAGUCAGAAAGGCAAAAAAAGCUGAGAACUGUAUGGAUUUUGUGCAAGAGAAGUUACCACCCUUUGCUAAUACACAUUUACCUGUGAGUGUCUGGGCAGAGGCUCAAGUAAGCCUUAACCCUAAAAGUGUGUAUUUCCCUUCAAGUGAUGGCUUGGUAUCCUGUCCUGGGUGUAUUCUUCACUGGGUAUUGCUGCACUGGUCUUUCAUACUCAAUUACCAUUCACAUAUACAUAGCCAGCGUGCUACUUCAAUAUGUGUGCGUGCAUUGCCUUCUUUGCCACACUUUGUGUCAUGUUCCCAACCUACUGAGUAAUACUCCAUCAUAUGAGGGCUGUGUUUCAGCAGGGUCAGUUUCUUUUAACUCUUGGUUCAUAGCUUAGCUGAACCAUUUCAGUUAUGUUAUUUCUUCUUCCACUCCAGCUUCUGCCCUCUGCUCAGAUAGUUGGAGUAAGAAGCACCACAAGGAGGGGUGCUCUUCCUUGCAGGAUUUACAGUAAGGUGUCCUCUAUUGGUUACCUGACCGUCAGAUGGGUUGUAGCAGUUUUCAAGGCUGUUGAAUUUUGUAAACAAUUUAUACAUACGUAUGUGUAUGUCUAUUCUUUAUAUACAGUUUUUAAAACUCAAACUAUGUAUUUCUUUUUUAUUUUUCUUAGAGGUCACCUCCGAUACUAACGAAUGCAAACAACAGGUUCUGAAAGCAGACUACUGUGAGACUCACAGUAACCACUGAAUCAGCCGUGUGCCAGACUUCUCUCAAUUGCCAGGUUACAAAUGUAGUUCUGUGUUCAGCAAGAGGGAAGAUAUCUGUUUCAUUGCGGAUAGUUCGAAGAAGAUGCAUUCUCAGUAUUAUGAAGUGUCUGAACACCACCUCCUAAAAUGCUCCUACAGAAUGACCUUAUUUAAAAAUGUAUGAGGCUAUUUAUAAUCGACUCUGUGGCAGUGAUUAAAGAGGUGUGAAUAAUAGCUUAUUGGAAGUUGACAGCUCCUUGUUUGCUGAACCACUGCUAGAACGUUUCUGCUGCUCAGUUGUACCUCAUUUUUCUAAGGGAGGCUGCAUUUUGACAAGUGCU
Numida meleagris (helmeted guineafowl) is the source of this 1305-nucleotide long non-coding RNA. RefSeq lists it as uncharacterized. The transcript is spliced from 3 exons. NCBI's taxonomy places the organism in Eukaryota, Metazoa, Chordata, Aves, Galliformes, Numididae. The record is from RefSeq and is a predicted model, not a curated record.